This 253-nucleotide ribosomal RNA is filed under the name uncultured bacterium. Its description in RNAcentral is "partial 16S ribosomal RNA". It matches the Rfam family "Bacterial small subunit ribosomal RNA", at positions 524 to 776 of the family's 1533-position model. The record is from RNAcentral.
UACGGAGGGUGCAAGCGUUAUCCGGAUUCACUGGGUUUAAAGGGUGCGUAGGUGGGUUGGUAAGUCAGUGGUGAAAUCUCCGAGCUUAACUUGGAAACUGCCAUUGAUACUAUCAAUCUUGAAUAUUGUGGAGGUUAGCGGAAUAUGUCAUGUAGCGGUGAAAUGCUUAGAUAUGACAUAGAACACCAAUUGCGAAGGCAGCUGGCUACACAUAUAUUGACACUGAGGCGCGAAAGCGUGGGGAUCAAACAGG